UAGGGAAUCUUCCGCAAUGGACGCAAGUCUGACGGAGCAACGCCGCGUGAGUGAAGAAGGAUUUCGGUUCGUAAAACUCUGUUGUUAGAGAAGAACAGCGCAUAGAGUAACUGUUAUGCGUGUGACGGUAUCUAACCAGAAAGCCACGGCUAACUACGUGCCAGCAGCCGCGGUAAUACGUAGGUCCCGAGCGUUGUCCGGAUUUAUUGGGCGUAAAGCGAGCGCAGGCGGUUAGAUAAGUCUGAAGUUAAAGGCAGUGGCUCAACCAUUGUAGGCUUUGGAAACUGUUUAGCUUGAGUGCAGAAGGGGAGAGUGGAAUUCCAUGUGUAGCGGUGAAAUGCGUAGAUAUAUGGAGGAACACCGGUGGCGAAAGCGGCUCUCUGGUCUGUAACUGACGCUGAGGCUCGAAAGCGUGGGGAGCGAACAGG
Molecule: ribosomal RNA, 428 nt
Filed under: Bacteroidota bacterium
Lineage: Bacteria; Pseudomonadati; Bacteroidota
Description: Bacteroidetes bacterium partial 16S ribosomal RNA
Rfam family: Bacterial small subunit ribosomal RNA
Source: RNAcentral